Molecule: ribosomal RNA, 459 nt
Filed under: uncultured bacterium
Lineage: Bacteria
Description: partial 16S ribosomal RNA
Rfam family: Bacterial small subunit ribosomal RNA
Source: RNAcentral
CCUACGGGAGGCAGCAGUGAGGAAUAUUGGUCAAUGGACGGAAGUCUGAACCAGCCAUGCCGCGUGCAGGAAGACGGCUCUAUGAGUUGUAAACUGCUUUUGUACAAGGGUAAACCUGAAUACGUGUAUUCAGCUGCAAGUACUGUACGAAUAAGGAUCGGCUAACUCCGUGCCAGCAGCCGCGGUAAUACGGAGGAUCCAAGCGUUAUCCGGAGUUAUUGGGUUUAAAGGGUGCGUAGGCGGAAUAUCAAGUCAGCGGUAAAAAUUCGGGGCUCAACCCCGUCGUGCCGUUGAAACUGAUGGUCUUGAGUGGGCGAGAAGUAUGCGGAAUGCGUGGUGUAGCGGUGAAAUGCAUAGAUAUCACGAAGAACUCCGAUUGCGAAGGCAGCAUACCGGCGCCCAACUGACGCUGAAGCACGAAAGCGUGGGUAUCGAACAGGAUUAGAUACCCGGGUAGUC